RNAcentral lists this unclassified non-coding RNA (240 nucleotides) under soil metagenome. Its description in RNAcentral is "partial contains 5.8S ribosomal RNA, internal transcribed spacer 2, and large subunit ribosomal RNA". The record is from RNAcentral.
AACCAUAGAAACCUGCGGAGUACCUGCGGAAGGAUCAUUAUUGAUUGAUAAAAGGAUGUGCUGGCAAAUACUAAUUUUUUGCAUUGUGCACUCCUGAAAUCUUCAUCCACCAGUGCACUUUGUAGACAAAAAUCAAUGAAUUAAUUUUGUUGUUUUUUGUCUAUGCUCCUUACACACAUUAUCAGUUUUAUGGAAGAUGUUCUUGACUUCAAAGUCAAAAAUUUAAAACAACUUUCAACA